ACAACAUUUGGACCGUCGGUCUACCGAGCAAUAUCGACCGCUAUGUCUAAGAUCUUCCUUUCGUCGU
Molecule: microRNA precursor, 67 nt
Filed under: Bombyx mori (domestic silkworm)
Lineage: Eukaryota; Metazoa; Arthropoda; Insecta; Lepidoptera; Bombycidae
Description: mir-2774 microRNA precursor family
Rfam family: mir-2774 microRNA precursor family
Source: Rfam by way of RNAcentral